RNAcentral lists this long non-coding RNA (386 nucleotides) under Homo sapiens (human). RNAcentral's name for it is "HSALNT0207344". The record is from RNAcentral. Lineage: Eukaryota; Metazoa; Chordata; Mammalia; Primates; Hominidae.
GCACCAACGGCCUCACCAAGCCCGCGGCCCUGGCCGCCGCGCCCGCCAAGCCGGGGGGCGCGGGCGGCUCCAAGAAGCUGGUCAUCAAGAACUUCCGAGACAGACCUCGGCUGCCCGACAACUACACGCAGGACACGUGGCGGAAGCUGCACGAGGCGGUGCGGGCCGUGCAGAGCAGCACCUCCAUCAGGUACAACCUCGAGGAGCUCUACCAGGCUGUGGAAAAUCUCUGUUCUCACAAAGUCUCCCCAAUGCUCUACAAGCAACUGCGUCAGGCCUGUGAAGACCACGUCCAGGCACAGAUCCUUCCGUUUAGAGAUGCCCCAGGUGGAACUCUGUCUUCACAACACCUGAGCUGCCCAGUGGUGUCAGAUUGACUGGUGUCA